GAUGAAGAACGCAGCGAAAUGCGAUAAGUAAUGUGAAUUGCAGAAUUCAGUGAAUCAUCGAAUCUUUGAACGCACAUUGCGCCCGCCAGUAUUCUGGCGGGCAUGCCUGUUCGAGCGUCAUUUCAACCCUCAAGACCCCUUCGGGGGACUUGGUGUUGGGGACCGGCUGUUCCCGGCCUGCUUCUUGCAGCGCCUUUAUGCCGCCCCCGAAAUGAAUUGGCGGCCUCGUCGCGGCCUCCCCUGCGUAGUAGCACAACCUCGCAACGGGAACGUGACGGCGGCCACUGCCGUAAAACAACCCAAUUUUAUUAGAGUUGACCUCGAAUCAGGUAGGAAUACCCGCUGAACUUAAGCAUAUCAAUAAGCGGAGGA
This 372-nucleotide unclassified non-coding RNA is filed under the name soil metagenome. Its description in RNAcentral is "partial contains 5.8S ribosomal RNA, internal transcribed spacer 2, and large subunit ribosomal RNA". The stretch from base 1 to 120 matches the Rfam family "5.8S ribosomal RNA", at positions 35 to 154 of the family's 154-position model. The record is from RNAcentral.